RNAcentral lists this transfer RNA (72 nucleotides) under Caudoviricetes sp. Its description in RNAcentral is "tRNA-Gly". It matches the Rfam family "tRNA". From Rfam's summary of the family: Transfer RNA (tRNA) molecules are approximately 80 nucleotides in length. Their secondary structure includes four short double-helical elements and three loops (D, anti-codon, and T loops). The record is from RNAcentral. Lineage: Duplodnaviria; Heunggongvirae; Uroviricota; Caudoviricetes.
GCAGGUAUAGUUCAUCGGUAGAAUAUCAGCCUUCCAAGCUGAGGAGGUGGGUUCGAUUCCCACUACCUGCCC